RNAcentral lists this ribosomal RNA (426 nucleotides) under uncultured bacterium. RNAcentral describes it as "bacterial SSU rRNA". It matches the Rfam family "Bacterial small subunit ribosomal RNA", at positions 356 to 773 of the family's 1533-position model. The record is from RNAcentral.
GAGGAAUAUUGCGCAAUGGGGGAAACCCUGACGCAGCAACGCCGCGUGGGUGAAGAAGGCCUUCGGGUUGUAAAGCCCUGUCAGGUGCGAAGAAACCUCCACAGGUGAAUAGUCUGUGGAGCUGACGGUAGCACCGGAGGAAGCACCGGCUAACUCCGUGCCAGCAGCCGCGGUAAGACGGAGGGUGCAAACGUUGUUCGGAAUCACUGGGCGUAAAGCGCGUGUAGGCGGUCCGAGAAGUCGAGUGUGAAAGCCCGAGGCUCAACCUCGGAAGCGCACUCGAAACUGGCGGACUUGAGUACGGGAGAGGGAAGUGGAAUUCCUGGUGUAGAGGUGAAAUUCGUAGAUAUCAGGAGGAACACCGGUGGCGAAGGCGGCUUCCUGGACCGAUACUGACGCUGAGACGCGAAAGCGUGGGGAGCAAAC